AUUAAUGUUCUAAACUUUCAACUAGUGUCUUUUAAUGUUGUCAGUCUUAUUAUAGUAUAAAAAAAUAGCUUAAGUCAUUCAACCUACAUAAAAAAUAUCUAAGUGAUAUCUUUAGCAUUAUAGUAACACUUUUUAGGCAUGUUAUAAUGUUUAUUACCCUUAUACGUCAUAAAAAUGGAUUGCUAUAGUGUUAAUCAGGGUACCGAAAUAAUAAUUUAGAAUCCCUUAAUUACAUGAUACCCUACUCCACGUCUUUCAUAUUUUAUCUGUCUCCAGUUAGAUAAUUUGCCAAGUGUAAGUAUAAAAUCAUUAUCACAAUAAAUGAGUUGGGGAAUUCCCUGAAUCAUGUGCCCGAAUAGAACGAACGGGACGUGCGACUUAAAGUCGAUAAAACAACAAUCCCUACAAAACGUGACGUCACUUGCACCAAGAGAACGACCUCUAUUCAUUAGUAGUACUUGAUUCCUGUCCCUGUGACGACGCGCGCUCAUUUGCUAAAUAUUGUGUAUUUUAUUUUUGAAUUAAUUUAAACACCGGCGUGAUCACGAUCCCUUACAGAUGCCUUUUAAAAUUGUGCAAACGACCGAAAGGGGAUCAACUAAACUGUUUAUUGUUCCAAGCGGGUGGGAAAGUCAGCGUCAACUGCGAUAUCCAAAAAGACCUAAUGAGUCUGCAUUAGUAAGGAAUGAAAAUUCCAAGCCUCGCGCAGAUUGGUCAGUGUUGCCUUGUAAAGUCAAACGGACGGGUUUUUUAACCUAUGAAGAUGCUGACGAGGAAUUGUCAAUUAUGAUGCAGCAUAGCGACACAGAUACCGGCCCCACUAUUUAUGAAGCCCAAAGAGAAACCCAGCUCGCAAUGUCAGGAUUACCAGAUUUCAAUAACUUGGCCGACCAACUAGUAACACUUCUGCAAAAUAAUUUUCAUUUUCAAAUCUUGAAUGUACUACGGAACCACUUGCUAGAACUUCUUGAACGGUGCUUGGCUCAUACACAACUACCGAUUGUUCUGUAUUUUGUGUAUCAAGAGUAUCAUUGUUUGGAACACGUUUUUCAUUACUUAAACCAGAUAUAAAAUUUGAGUAUUCCA
Molecule: long non-coding RNA, 1086 nt
Organism: Pieris napi
Lineage: Eukaryota; Metazoa; Arthropoda; Insecta; Lepidoptera; Pieridae
Exons: 2
Source: RefSeq, a predicted model, not a curated record